GACGAACGCUGGCGGCGUGCUUAACACAUGCAAGUCGAACGGAAAGGCCCUGCUUUUGUGGGGUUCUCUGGUGGCGAACGGGUGGGUAGCACGUACGUACCCUACCUUUCCCUUUGGGAUAACUUCCGGAAACUGGGGCUAAUUCCGGCUAGGAGCUCCUCCUGCAUGGUGGGGGUUGGAUAUUUUCGGCGGUUGGGGAUGGACUCGCGGUUUAUCUGCUUGUUGUUGGGGUAGUGGCUUACCAAGGCUUUGCCGGGUAGCCGGCCUGAGAGGGUGACCGGCAAAAGUGGGACUGAGAUACGGCCCAGAGUCCUAAGGGAGGCAGCAGUGGGGAAGAUUGCACAAUGGGGGGAAGCCGGAUGCAGCAACGCCGCGUGCGGGAUGACGGCCUUCGGGUUGUAAACCGCUUUCGCCUGUGACGAAGCGUGAGUGACGGUAAUGGGUAAAGAAGCACCGGCUAACUACGUG
RNAcentral lists this ribosomal RNA (468 nucleotides) under uncultured bacterium. Its description in RNAcentral is "partial 16S ribosomal RNA". It matches the Rfam family "Bacterial small subunit ribosomal RNA", at positions 28 to 507 of the family's 1533-position model. The record is from RNAcentral.